RNAcentral lists this ribosomal RNA (441 nucleotides) under uncultured bacterium. Its description in RNAcentral is "bacterial SSU rRNA". It matches the Rfam family "Bacterial small subunit ribosomal RNA", at positions 958 to 1398 of the family's 1533-position model. The record is from RNAcentral.
AACGCGAAGAACCUUACCAAGGUUUGACAUACCAUUGACCGGACUAGAAAUAGUUCUUUCCUUCGGGACAAUGGAUACAGGUGGUGCAUGGUUGUCGUCAGCUCGUGUCGUGAGAUGUUGGGUUAAGUCCCGCAACGAGCGCAACCCCUAUUUUUAGUAGCCAGUACGUAAUGGUAGGCACACUAGAGAGACUGCCGUGGAUAACACGGAGGAAGGUGGGGAUGAGGUCAAAUCAUCAUGCCCCUUAUAUCUUGGGCAACUCACGUGCUACAAUGGCGUAUACAAAGUGAAGCAAUAUAGUGAUAUGGAGCAAAAACAUAAAAGUACGUCCCAGUUCGGAUUGUAGUCUGCAACUCGACUACAUGAAGUUGGAAUCGCUAGUAAUCGUAGAUCAGCACGCUACGGUGAAUACGUUCCCGGGCCUUGUACACACCGUAGUAC